This 87-nucleotide transfer RNA is filed under the name Mycoplasma sp. Its description in RNAcentral is "tRNA-Leu". It matches the Rfam family "tRNA". From Rfam's summary of the family: Transfer RNA (tRNA) molecules are approximately 80 nucleotides in length. Their secondary structure includes four short double-helical elements and three loops (D, anti-codon, and T loops). The record is from RNAcentral. Lineage: Bacteria; Bacillati; Mycoplasmatota; Mollicutes; Mycoplasmatales; Mycoplasmataceae.
GCUGAAGUGGCGGAAUGGUAGACGCACAGGACUUAAAAUCCUGUGGUAGUUAAUACCGUGAGGGUUCAAGUCCCUCCUUCAGCACCA